This 400-nucleotide ribosomal RNA is filed under the name Macrocera parva. Its description in RNAcentral is "partial small subunit ribosomal RNA". Lineage: Eukaryota; Metazoa; Arthropoda; Insecta; Diptera; Keroplatidae. The record is from RNAcentral.
AAAGGCCGCAGUAAUUUGACUGUGCAAAGGUAGCAUAAUCAUUAGUUUUUUAAUUGAAAGCUGGUAUGAAUGGUUGAAUGAAAUAUUAACUGUCUCAUAAAAAAAUUAUUAAAAUUUUAUUUYUUAGUUAAAAAGCUAAAAUAAAUUUAAAGGACGAGAAGACCCUAUAGAGUUUUAUAAAAUUAUUUUUAAUUAAAAUUUAUUAAUAAUAUUUUAAUAAAUUAUUAAUAAUUUAUUUUAUUGGGGAGAUAAUAAAAUUUAAAAAACUUUUAUAAAAAUUUAACAAAAAUUAUUGAUUAAUUGAUCUUAAUUAUAGAUUAAAAAAUUAAAUUACCUUAGGGAUAACAGCGUAAUUUUUUUUAGAAGUUCUUAUUUAUAAAAAAGAUUGCGACCUCGAUGU